GACGAACGCUGGCGGCGCGCCUAACACAUGCAAGUCGAACGAGCGAGAGAGAGCUUGCUUUCUUGAGCGAGUGGCGAACGGGUGAGUAACGCGUGAGGAACCUGCCUCAAAGAGGGGGACAACAGUUGGAAACGACUGCUAAUACCGCAUAAGCCCACGACCCGGCAUCGGGUUGAGGGAAAAGGAGGAAUCCGCUUUGAGAUGGCCUCGCGUCCGAUUAGCUAGUUGGUGAGGUAACGGCCCACCAAGGCGACGAUCGGUAGCCGGACUGAGAGGUUGAACGGCCACAUUGGGACGGCGACACGGCCCAGACUCCUACGGGGGGCAGCAGUGGGGAAUAUUGCACAAGGGGGGAAACCCUGAGGCAGCGACGCCGCGUGGAGGAAGAAGGUCUGCGGAUUGUAAACUCCUGUUGUUGAGGAAGAUAAUGACGGUACUCAACAAGGAAGUGACGGCUAACUACG
This 464-nucleotide ribosomal RNA is filed under the name uncultured bacterium. Its description in RNAcentral is "partial 16S ribosomal RNA". It matches the Rfam family "Bacterial small subunit ribosomal RNA", at positions 28 to 505 of the family's 1533-position model. The record is from RNAcentral.